UACGGGGGGAGCAAGCGUUGUUCGGAAUUACUGGGCGUAAAGCGCGCGUAGGCGGUCUGAAAAGUCAGAUGUGAAAGCCCCGGGCUCAACUUGGGAACUGCAUUUGAUACUGUCAGACUAGAGUACAGAAGAGGUGACUGGAAUUCCCAGUGUAGCGGUGAAAUGCGUAGAUAUUGGGAGGAACACCAGAUGCGAAGGCGGGUCACUGGGCUGAUACUGACGCUGAAGUGCGAAAGCCAGGGGAGCGAACGGG
RNAcentral lists this ribosomal RNA (253 nucleotides) under uncultured bacterium. RNAcentral's name for it is "partial 16S ribosomal RNA". It matches the Rfam family "Bacterial small subunit ribosomal RNA", at positions 524 to 776 of the family's 1533-position model. The record is from RNAcentral.